This 468-nucleotide ribosomal RNA is filed under the name uncultured bacterium. RNAcentral describes it as "partial 16S ribosomal RNA". It matches the Rfam family "Bacterial small subunit ribosomal RNA", at positions 28 to 507 of the family's 1533-position model. The record is from RNAcentral.
GACGAACGCUGGCGGCGUGCUUAACACAUGCAAGUCGAACGGAAAGGCCCUGCUUUUGUGGGGUGCUCGAGUGGCGAACGGGUGAGUAACACGUGAGUAACCUGCCCUUGACUUUGGGAUAACUUCAGGAAACUGGGGCUAAUACCGGAUAGGAGCUCCUGCUGCAUGGUGGGGUUUGGAAAGUUUCGGCGGUUGGGGAUGGACUCGCGGCUUAUCAGCUUGUUGGUGGGGUAGUGGCUUACCAAGGCUUUGACGGGUAGCCGGCCUGAGAGGGUGACCGGCCACAUUGGGCCUGCGCUACGGCCCAGACUCCUACGGGAGGCAGCAGUGGGGAAUAUUGCACAAUGGGCGGAAGCCUGAUGCAGCAACGCCGCGUGCGGGAUGACGGCCUUCGGGUUGUAAACCGCUUUCGCCUGUGACGAAGCGUGAGUGACGGUAAUGGGUAAAGAAGCACCGGCUAACUACGUG